UGCGCGCUCAGCGGGCUCACAGGGACUCGGUUCCCUUUCCUGAGUCCAGGCCCUUCUCAUCCAACGUUUUCCUCCCCUACCUCCCCCGCACCCCAGCCGCCAUUUCUUUCCAGGCCUCGGGCACCAAACCAGGAUGCUUUCCAAACUAAUUUUGGGUCUCUGUGUCCUUCUUCCUCAGAGGCAACUCUCCUCCCCAGCCUCGCGGUCAACGUUUUUCUCUAUGUACGGGAACGGCAGAGGGGGUUUACUUCCACUGUCUCACUACUGGGGCGUCCCCAGCCCACCAUCUCCGGCUCCAAAAUGGACGGAGAGCAGAAAAGAGGAUGUGCCUGGAAAGCGAGCAUGGAUACUUGGAGUAUUCCGCUGGCAGCGUGGAAGGCCCGCACACUGACCUGGAGGAAGCUGGACCAAGAAUUAGGAGCCCAGGAACUGGAGCAGACGGGACCCAGCCGCGGGGACAGAGGGCGGGCGCUCGGACCGGUGCCCACAUCUGCGCCCGGGCGGAUCACGUGAAUGCCGCAGCACAGGAGUUCCACCGCCCCACGCCCCACGCCCCGCCUCCUAGCCAGCCGCUUCCAGCUACCCACCACCUCUCUCCAGCAGGGUUCUGAAGCAAUUUCAUCCUUAUAUCAGCACUACAUUAAAUUCCUUGGGCAUCAUGAAUGAUUUUCUUAUCGACAUCUUUGAGCACAUCACCACCAAGGCUGGCUGCCUAGUUGCUACACUGAGUGCUCCACUAUCACCUCCAGAGACAUCCAGAUCACCCGAGCCCGAUGCUGUCUGGGGAUAUCCACAAGCACACUGUAUUCAAAACCAAAGAUGCCUACUUCAUGGAAAAGAAGGAAAAAAUAAUUAUGAGAACAAAUACAUGUUCACAUCUCAUCAGUGGGACCUGCCAUAUAUGCCUACUUGUUAUGUGUAUCUUCUUUCAGACUUGCUCAAACAGACACACUGUGUUCUGCGGUGGACAGGUCUAUGCAAACCUACCCCCAAAGUCCAAGGAAGCUGAGAGGCCAAAGAAAGAGGCUGAUAAAUCCAGUUUCUUAGAAAGAAACAUUUAAUAGGAACUAACAAACAGAAGCUAUUGGAAAAUCCAAAUCCAGGGCUUACUUACCAUAAGGAAAGGGUAUACAUGAUUCAGAAGAAAUCUGUAGGAAAAUUGAAGUACAAUAACAUCAAGAUUGUUUUGACCUAAGGGCAAGAAUUAUGGUAAGUAUGUGCUCUUACACAAGGAACAAUAGAUAAACUGGAAAUUUUUUGAGGCUUUCCUGGAACUGAGGUUAAUCAGAAGUAAAUAUGGCAGAUUAGCAUCCAAGAUAGAGUAACUUUAGCCUCCACAUACUUAUUUUCUCAGUUUAUAUGCUGUAGGGAGCACUAACAGAACCUUCAGAUAAUAUUUGCUGUCACUUUUUAAAUCUAAGGUGUCCAAAGUCUUAGAGUUUCCCAGGUGCCAUCUAGCCCUAAGUAAUGAACAUGAAACAGCUUUCCAUUUGUCCAUACUUAAUUUUCCAUGUUUCAUUUACACUAUUACUCAUUACAUUGUUAUACUUGUACAUCUGGAACCUAAUCUGGAAAAUCUUGGUGCGAAAAGGCAGUGAUUUCUGGAAUUUAGUUUUCAUGUGUCCACACUACUACACAAAUCCCUUGGUUGGUUUAGAGAUGCAUCCCAUUUAGAACCUGACCUGAUUUUGUGUUAUAAGUGCUGGGCAUGUGUAUCUUUUCCAUUCCUUUUAUUAUUUUUAAUUGCACAAGGAAGGUACUUUAAGAGUGUUUUAAUGUGCACAUGUUGGUUGUUCCUGGGCCCUGGGCUGAGUGAGACUCUGACUCAACUUAUACCCCGAACCCACUGUGUCAGGAUUCUUCCCCUCCAGAGACUGUGGUGCUGAGCCCUGGGUGGCUUCAUGCAGUCUCUCCCCCUUUCCAUCCCUUGUGGAAGUCACUGCUCGGCUAACUAGGUAGCUAAACAGAGGAGCCUAAUUUCAAUUUAAGGGGAUGCAUUUGGGAGAAUACAGAGACAGACAUUGUGUUCAUGCAUUUUGCAUUGCUAUAAAGGAAUAAUACCUAAGGUGAGGUAAUUCAUAAUGAAAAGAGGUUUAUUUGGCUCAGAGUUCUGCAGACUGUACAAGAAACAUGGUGCCAGCAUCUGUUUCUGGAAGCUUUUACUCAUGGUAGAAGGCAAGGGGAGGUGGCAUGUCACACGGCAAGAGAGGAAACAAUAGAGAAAAGAGGAGGUGCCAGGCUCUUUUUAACAAUCAGAUCUUAUGGUAACGAAUGGAGCCAAAACUUACUCAUUACCACAAGGAUAGCACCAAGCCAUUCAUGAGGGAUCUGCCUGCAUGACCUAAACACCUCCCGCCAGCCCCACCCUCAACAUUGGAGAUCACAUUUCAACUUGAGAUUUGGAGGAGACAGAUAUUCAAACUGUAUCACGCGUGUUAUGAAACUACUUUCAUUUCAUUUCAUGACCUUCGCUGAAAUCCUGGGAAGAAGAGACAUUGCCUGACAGCAGAAUGUAAGAUUCAUUUGAGAGGCAUGCUUGUCCUUUCCCUGGGCAUCUGUAAUUUCGCUGAAGCCACUCAGUUGGAGCUGUAAUUUCCCUGAUGCUGCUCAGCUUUUCCUGAAGCUAUCAUGUGGAUAGAUUAAUAUAUUAGUUUUGUGACAACCAUAUUACCUAGUUCCUUUGGCUCAGGGAUGUUCCCCAUUCUGAUGCUAAGCCAUUUUCCUGUGGGAAGGACUGGAGAUUUUGUUUUUUUUGGAUUAUUUUUCUCACUUCCAAACCCAACAUGCUUUUGUUGGAAAAUGCACAAAAGGAAAAAUAUCAUUAGAAACCCUAAAAAUUCUAUUAUUCAUGAAUAAGAACUGUUAACUUUUGAAUAUUGCUAUAGUUUGAAUGUCCCUUCCAAAACUCAUAUUAAAAUUUUAUUGACAUUAUAACAGUGUUGAGAGGUGGGGCCUUUAAGAGGUGAUUAGGUUAUGAUAGCUCUGCCCUCAUGAAUGAUUUAAUGCCAUUAUUGUGAUAGUAAGCUUCUAAUAAAAGAAUGACUUCAGCCCGAUUUUCUCUGUCUUCUGCACUCACUUCUGCUUCCCACACUUCCGUCAUGGGAUGACCCUUGCCAGAUGCCAGCACUAUGCUGUUGGACUUGCCAGCCUUCAGAACAGCGAGAAAUAAAUUUCUUUUCUUUAUAAAUUAUCCAGUCUCUGGUAUUCUGUUAUAGCAUCAGAAAAUGGACUAAGAGAAAUAAACAUUUUUCCAGAAGUUUUACUAUGCAAAUGUAACUAUACUUAAAACAAAAAUCAGAUAAUAUCCUACUUAUAGCUUUAUAAACUGCCUUUUUAUGAAAAACAUCAUAUUUCGAAGGUCAAUCUAUAUCAAUCAAUAUAAAUCCACAUAAUAACAAAAAUGGCCAUAGAAGCAGUAAUGGUCUAUUCAGGUAUUAUAAUAAUAAUAAUAAUAAUAAUAAUAAUAGCUAAUGUUUAUUGUGAUUUCCUCAAUGCCUGAUACUGUUGCAAGUGCUAAACAUAUACUUAAUCAUUUAAUCCUCACCAUAUUAUAUGAUGAGGUACUGUUGUUGUCUGACUUUAAACAUAAGGGAACUGAGGCAUAGUGAGGAUAGGGCUAGCAAGUGCUGAGACUUCAAUUUGAACACAGGCUGUGUGGCUCCCAAGCCCUUACAUCUAAUCAGUAUAUGCCACUGCCUCUCAUAUGAGAACACCAACCGUAUUAUUUAUCAGAAUAAAGCAAAAUAUAUGAAAUUAAGAUACUACAUUUUUCCCCAUUUGACUAAGCAGAGAUUUAAAAUAUUGAAAAAAAUGAAUGUGAUUUGGAAUUUGGGGAAAUGUGUCCUGGAAUACUGUGGAAGGAGCUGACCAGCAUCUUGUCUCCCUUCCUGUUUCUCAAAGACGUUCCUAUUCUGAAGCGAGGGGCUUUGCUAUAGGUGGAGCAGAGAAUGGUUAUGUUUCCCAGUGAUUUUAUUCUUUUGCAUAUUUAUAAGACCAAUAGGUGUUUAUUACAGUUAAAAAAGUGAAAACAUAGGACAUAAAAUAAAAUAACCAUUCCUCAAACAUAACACCUAAAAAUAAGACCUGCUAAUGUUUUCAUCCGCAUUAUUUUCUUAGAAGUUUUCUCAUGUAGGAAUUUAUACACUUAUGCAUGUAUGGACGUAUUUAUAUAUUUAUAUGAAAAAGACAAGAUCUCAUUUUAGUUUUUUAACCUGCCUAUGUCAAUAUAGUGGGUUGGAUAAUAUCCUCCAAUAAUAUAUGUCCAAGCCUUAGCCCUUAGUACCUGUGAAUGUAAUAUUAUUUGGAAAUAGAGUCAUUGCAAAUAUAAUUUAGGAUCUCAAGAUGAGAUGAUUCUGGAUUUAGUGUGGGCCCUAAAUCUAAUGACUGGUGUCCUUGUAACAGAGAGGAUGGGGAGAUUUGACAUACACAGGAAAGAAGGUCAUGUGAAGAAGGAGGCAGAGAUUGGAGUUAUGCUGCCAUAAGCCAGGGAAAGCUAUGAGUCACCAGAAGCUGGAAGAGGCAAGAAAAAAAUUGUCUUCCCAAGCCUUCAUGGGGAGUAUGACCCUGUCAAAACCUUGAUAUCAGGCUUCUGGUCUCCAAAACUGGAGGCAGCAGGUGGCUGAAAUUCUGGCGUGCUGUGACUGGAUAAUGCAUGAUCUGAGGACCCCUAUACUGAUGACUGUGGAUGGGGCCACAUUUUUUUCUACAAAUAUAUUCAUAUACUGAGCAGUCAGGAGCAGCCCUUAGGCAAAUACCACACCUUGCUUCUCUGGUGUGAUUGAUAUCUGAGCUCACCAGAGGACCCUGAGCAGCCUCCCUUUUAGAAGAUGGGCUUCCGGGACUUGAGAAAUGGUCAGAAUCCAUUGCCCUGCUAUUAUGGACCCAUGCAUCCUCACUCCACAGCCCCUCUGGGUGAUGAAGAAGACAGAGAGAUGAUAUCCUGCCCCUUGUGCCGAGAGACCUGGUUGUUGGGCUGCAUGAAUUGGCUGAUUCCUGAAGUGAGACAGUGUCUCGCUAUGUUGCCCAGGCUUGCCUUGAAU
Molecule: RNA transcript, 5039 nt
Organism: Cercocebus atys (sooty mangabey)
Lineage: Eukaryota; Metazoa; Chordata; Mammalia; Primates; Cercopithecidae
Exons: 7
Source: RefSeq, a predicted model, not a curated record